AGAGGCGGAAGCGGAGUCGGCCUGAGAGGUCUCUCGUCGCUGCAGGCGCCUCAGCCCAGCCGCGUGCCUUGGCCCAUGGCCGCCUACUCUUACCGCCCCGGCCCUGGGGCCGGCCCUGGGCCUGCUGCAGGCGCGGCGCUGCCGGACCAGAGCUUCCUGUGGAACGUUUUCCAGAGGGUCGAUAAAGACAGGAGUGGAGUGAUAUCAGACACCGAGCUUCAGCAAGCUCUCUCCAACGGCACGUGGACUCCCUUUAAUCCAGUGACUGUCAGGUCGAUCAUAUGCCGAGGACGAUGAUCCCGCCGGGGGAGUGCACGUACGCGGGCCGGAAGCGGAGGAGGCCCCUGCAGAAACAGAGGCCCGCCGUGGGGGCAGAGAAGUCCAACCCCUCCAAGCGACACCGGGACCGCCUCAACGCCGAGUUGGACCACCUGGCCAGCCUGCUGCCGUUCCCGCCUGACAUCAUCUCCAAGCUGGACAAGCUUUCUGUCCUGCGCCUCAGUGUCAGUUACCUCCGGGUGAAGAGCUUCUUCCAAGUCGUGCAGGAGCAGAGCUCACGGCAGCCUGCGGCCGGCGCCCCCUCGCCCGGAGACAGCUGUCCUCUUGCAGGGUCUGCCGUGCUGGAGGGAAGGCUGCUGUUGGAGUCUCUUAAUGGCUUUGCUCUGGUCGUGAGUGCAGAAGGGACGAUAUUUUAUGCAUCAGCAACGAUCGUGGACUAUCUGGGCUUCCAUCAGACGGAUGUAAUGCACCAGAACAUUUAUGACUACAUCCACGUGGACGACCGCCAGGACUUCUGCCGGCAGCUCCACUGGGCCAUGGACCCUCCCCAGGUGGUGUUUGGGCAGCCCCCGCCCUUGGAGACAGGAGAUGAUGCUAUCCUGGGGAGGCUGCUCAGGGCCCAGGAGUGGGGCACAGGCACGCCCACCGAGUACUCGGCCUUCCUGACCCGCUGCUUCAUCUGCCGUGUGCGCUGCCUGCUGGACAGCACCUCGGGCUUCCUGGCCCGGGGGUCACAGGCUUGGCAGCUGCGGCUCUGCUGUCCCGAGCCACUCAUGACGAUGCAGUUUCAAGGAAAACUAAAAUUCCUGUUUGGACAGAAGAAGAAGGCGCCGUCAGGAGCCAUGCUCCCGCCGCGGCUGUCGCUGUUCUGCAUUGCGGCACCCGUUCUCCUCCCCUCCGCAGCGGAGAUGAAAAUGAGGAGCGCGCUCCUGAGGGCAAAACCCAGAGCAGACACCGCAGCCACCGCGGAUGCAAAAGUAAAAGCCACCACCAGUCUGUGCGAAUCGGAACUGCAUGGAAAACCCAAUUACUCAGCAGGAAGGAGCAGCAGAGAGAGCGGCGUUUUGGUGCUCAGGGAACAGACUGACGCUGGCCGAUGGGCACAGGUUCCCGCCAGGGCCCCAUGCCUGUGCCUCCGGGGUGGCCCUGACCUUGUCCUUGACCCCAAGGGGGGCUCAGGGGACAGGGAGGAGGAGCAGCACAGGAUGCUGAGCAGGGCCUCUGGAGUGACAGGGCGGAGGGAGACUCCAGGACCCACAAAGCCCCUGCCCUGGACAGCGGGAAAGCACAGUGAGGAUGGUGCCAGGCCGAGGCUGCAGCCCAGCAAGAAUGACCCGCCCUCCCUGCGCCCCAUGCCCCGCGGCUCCUGCCUGCCCUGCCCGUGUGUCCAGGGCACUUUCAGGAACUCGCCCAUCUCUCACCCGCCGAGCCCGUCCCCCAGUGCCUACUCCAGCCGGACCAGCAGACCCAUGCGGGAUGUCGGUGAGGACCAGGUGCACCCUCCCCUCUGCCACUUUCCCCAGAGGAGCCUGCAGCACCAGCUCCCUCAGCCUGGAGCUCAGCGUUUUGCCACGAGGGGCUAUCCCAUGGAGGACAUGAAGCUGCAAGGUGUACCGAUGCCUCCGGGGGACCUGUGUGGUCCGACGCUGCUGCUAGAUGUGUCCAUCAAGAUGGAGAAGGACUCUGGGUGUGAGGGUGCUGCAGACGGCUGUGUGCCCAGCCAGGUGUGGCUGGGGGCCAGUGACAGGAGCCACCCAGCCACCUUCCCUACCAGGAUGCACCUGAAAACAGAGCCAGACUCUCGGCAACAGGUGUACAUCUCGCACCUGGGGCACGGCGUGCGGGGGGCUCAGCCCCAUGGGAGGGCCACUGCUGGGCGCAGCAGGGAGCUGACCCCUUUCCACCCUGCACACUGUGCCUGCCUGGAGCCCACAGACGGCCUUCCCCAGUCGGAGCCUCCCCACCAGCUCUGUGCACGGGGCCGAGGUGAACAGUCCUGCACCUGCAGAGCUGCUGAGGCCGCCCCUGUGGUCAAGCGGGAGCCCUUGGACUCACCCCAGUGGGCUACUCACAGCCAGGGAAUGGUGCCCGGGAUGUUGCCCAAAAGUGCCUUGGCCACGCUGGUCCCGCCCCAAGCUUCGGGGUGCACAUUCCUGCCAUAGCGCAGUGACCACCAUCCAAGCUCAGAUCUGUGUGUCUACGCUCAGAUGCGUCGGUGGCUGGGCUGCCCUGCUCCUGGUCAGGCCGGAGCCCGUCCUAAGACACACGCUUUGCAGAGCUGUGCAUGCGCAGUCUGCUAGUGUGUGUGUGCAGCAUACGCAGGAGCCUAUCCUGAAUUUUGUAAAAUAUCCCAACAGUUCUUAAAUGAAAACUGGCCUUAAGUCUAUUCAAGCAUGACAGCAUUUCUCUUUGAGGAAUUAAAAUCUUUAGGAAAGUGAUCAUGGCUGGACAGCUUCAUGCCCCAGAGGCAGCGAGCACCCGUCCCAUGGCUGCCAAGUCCACAGUCGGGGAUGAAGCAGUCGGGUGAUGCUCCCAAGUCCGCAGUCGGGGAUGAAGCGGUCGGGUGAUGCUCCCAAGUCCGCAGUCGGGGAUGAAGCGGUCGGGUGACACACCUAGCUCAGCCCUCCCAGGCCACCUGCAGCUCCCAGCCUGUGCUGUGCAGGCAGGGUCAGCCCAUCGCCACAGUGCACUGUAGAGGCCAGCACACGGCAAAUUAGAAAUACAACACGCGGAGAAAGGGGUCCGUGAGCCCACUCAUAGAGGAAUCUAGAACGUUCCAGGCAGCAGAGGCUGGCAGCGUGGGUCCCACACUGCCCCACACCGUGCGGCAGGUGCUCCAUGGCGCCAUGACAGAGUCUGAGGCCAGACCUGGACUGGAAUUGACAGCAUAACCCCUGUUCCUUCUGGACAUCUCCCGAGUUCUCAGUGGGUCUCUGCGGACGGUUCUUCCUAAUCUGCCUCUUGGUACAUCACGUAAUACAGAGUUCACAGACUCCGGGUUUGGAAGUACAGAGAAACACACAACGUAGAGAGAAGACACAGGAAACUGCGCUGCCUGUGGGGGUUUCUCUCUGGCUGGCUGUACAGUUCACUCAAAUGAGGGUUCCCAUUGCCAUCCUAGGAGAAUAAUUAGGGACAAGACAGACAAGUAUUAAUAGCAUUAAAACAGUUGUAAAGGCGAUAUUUUCUGAGAGUAGGAAAUUUGGAUACAAAAGCAUAAGUCAGAAAGUGAAGGUCACCAAUCCACCAACCCGAGAACCUACAGCUGAUGGUGCAUUUCAGGCUUCUUCCACGGUCUGGCCUGGAACCCCACCCGGCUGGUGCAGGCAUCAGAUCAGGGUGUAGAAGUCACCCCAAGCAAGAGGAAGCCAGGCAGUGAGGCCCUGGGGUGUGGCUGCAGCUGGGCCCACCUGUGCGGGGGUGGGAAGGCCCCAUCCUCAGGGAGAGGGCAUCGGCGCCCUGACGUCAGCUCCACUGGGAGUGGCAGGAGCUGUGGGAGCCCAUGGGUGAGGGACCCACCACCCCGCUGCACUGUGCAUUGUGCCUCCCGUGUGGACGCCCUCUCUGUUGUUGGCCCGCGGGUGAGGGACCCACCACCCCUAGGGACCCACCACCCCGCCGCACUGUGCAUUCUGCCUCCUGUGUGGACGCCCUCUCUGUUGUCAGUGGCUUUGAGGUGUCAGUGCUUACUUAGAUGCUGGUUUAAUGCUGGACCCAUUUGUUAAACGCACCUUCACUUUGUCAAAACCCAGGUUUGGUUGGCAGGACUGGGUCUUCUGCCCAAUGCCAGGUGCCUGCGCCUCUCAGUGGCCUGGUUCUUGGACAGUUUGCCCCCAUGUGGCAGGGAUAGGGAUAAGGAUCUCCUCUCAGUACUGGAAGAGAACAGCCAACCAUCUGAGCCCAGAGUCACAGAUCCAUCGUGGCCCCCUAUGACCCCCAAGCCCUACCGAGGGGGCACUCACUCUCUGCUUAGCCAGGGGGCGUCUUUCAAAAGGUGACCUCCAUGCUGUGCUGUCGUGGGUGUGAGACGUGCUCAUGGCCUUCCACUGCCAUCUCUCCCUUAUCUGAUGCCUAAAGUCACGAUGGGGACAGAGCUACCCAGGGGCCAGCCAUGGGGUGACCAGCCACCUGAGGGUCAGUCACCUGUGGAGAGCAGGCACCUGUGAAGACCAGGCACCUGAGGACUGGCGCCUACUUCCCACUUUGGCCCUACACUGGCACAGAGCCCCUCUUUAUUCAUUUCUCAUGCUGAGCAUGGCACACUUCUGGCCUCUGGGCAUUUAUGGAUUUAAGACCAGGAUGGUAUUUCAGAAGCUUCCCACUUCCUUCCUAUUCUAACCGAGUGCCCAGCUCCUUUGCUGAUCAUGGAAAGACCCUUAAUAAUUAGGCCUGCAGGCCAGGCGCAGUGGCUCAUGCCUAUAAUCCCAGCACUUUAGGAGGUCAAGGUAGGAGGAUCGCUUAAGCCCAGGAGUUCAAGACCAGCCUGGGCAACACAGGAAGAAUGUGUCUCUACAAAAAAUAAUUAAAAAUCAGAUCUGCUGUAUCCCUGAAAAAGUCUCAAUCAACAUGCAUGUUCCACUCUUGGAGUUCCCUGUUCUGAGGGCCAGCCACGUCCUGUGUCCUGGAGCUUAGCCCUCAGCAGCUCCCUUCAGCCUGGGCGCCGCCUGGGUCCCAAACGUGGCAGCUGCUCUUCCAGUCUCGGGGCCGAGGAGGGCAGGGAGCUCAGUGACUGAGAGUCUUGUGUAUCACAUGUCUUGAGUGUCCUGGAGCCAACGGCUGUCACUGGGAAAAACACCAGGCCCCAAAGAUCGAAUCAGAGACGUGGCUGCGUGUUUGCGAUUGUAGCCAGGCCCUUCAGUGUCAUCAAAGGAGCACUGGGGCCUCCUUAAGCACAGACGGCAGCCCCUGCCCAGGAGGCUUCUUCACCACGUCCUGCCCUGCAGCCUCCCAGACCUUUAGAUGCGCCCCUGCCCAAGGCCCUCCUGGUGACAGGUGCCAGAUUGAGUGGUGGGUUGCUGCCAGGCAGGCCACGCUGUGUUGACGCUGCACUCAGCACGUGGGUGUUGGCUCUGCCGGUUUUGUGGUGUGGGGACCCUACAGGAGGCUGCGGCCCUGAGAGCCUGGGAUCAGCGAGGUGUCCGACAUCCCUUCCUCAACGGCAACAAAAACUCCCCAAGUCAGCACUUUGGUUAUUUUAUAGCCACAACCCUCUUGGAAAACAGUGGGGAAGACUAUGGAACAUAGAAAGUGUGGAUGUAUCACUUCUCUCUAAAAUGUCAUUGUUAGCACUAAUUACAGGUUCAUGUUUUUCUGUGUAUGUAGCUUUUCCCUAUAUAGCUGAAAAAGUAUUAAAGUCAAAUAUAAGGUGGGAAUGGGAUGGAAGGGAGGAGAUCAAUACAACUUAUAUUUUUGCAGUUUCUACUGGAAGAAAAAAGUUUUCAAUACCUAGACCAACUUGUUGAAUUUUUAAAACUUAUGCACUAUAAAUGCAACUUUCUCUACUGCUUUCUCAGUGCCUUUAGGAAGCUUUCAAAUUUUUUUGUACUGUGGUUUGUAUUAAAUUUGCAAUAUUGAUGUAAAAUACAUGACAUGCUAGUACAUGUUUAACAAAAA
Long non-coding RNA from Homo sapiens (human), 5892 nucleotides. RefSeq annotates it as PDCD6-AHRR readthrough (NMD candidate). The record is from RefSeq and is marked validated. Lineage: Eukaryota; Metazoa; Chordata; Mammalia; Primates; Hominidae. The transcript is spliced from 14 exons.